Molecule: transfer RNA, 69 nt
Filed under: Duttaphrynus melanostictus (Asian common toad)
Lineage: Eukaryota; Metazoa; Chordata; Amphibia; Anura; Bufonidae
Description: transfer RNA-His
Source: RNAcentral
GUGAACAUAGUUUAUUAAAAAUUCUAGCUUGUGAUUCUAGAGAAGGGAAUUAAUUACUCCCUGUUUACC